GUGAGGAAUAUUGGUCAAUGGGCGAAAGCCUGAACCAGCCAUGUCGCGUGAAGGAUGAAGGUCCUAUGGAUUGUAAACUUCUUUUGCAGGAGGGUAAAGUGAGCUACGUGUAGUUCAUUGCAAGUACCCUGCGAAUAAGCAUCGGCUAACUCCGUGCCAGCAGCCGCGGUAAUACGGAGGAUGCGAGCGUUAUCCGGAUUUAUUGGGUUUAAAGGGUGCGUAGGCGGACUAAUUAGUCAGCGGUGAAAUUUUGCGGCUCAAACGUAAAACUGCCGUUGGAACUGUUAGUCUUGAGUGCGGUAGAGGUAGGCGGAAUAUGUGGUGUAGCGGUGAAAUGCUUAGAUAUCACACAGAACACCGAUUGCGUAGGCAGCUUACUUGAGCGCAACUGACGCUGAGGCACGAAAGCGUGGGGAUCGAACAGGAUUAGAAACCCGAGUAGUCC
Molecule: ribosomal RNA, 445 nt
Filed under: uncultured bacterium
Lineage: Bacteria
Description: partial 16S ribosomal RNA
Rfam family: Bacterial small subunit ribosomal RNA
Source: RNAcentral